RNAcentral lists this ribosomal RNA (445 nucleotides) under Hynesionella capensis. RNAcentral describes it as "partial 16S ribosomal RNA". Lineage: Eukaryota; Metazoa; Arthropoda; Insecta; Hemiptera; Gerridae. The record is from RNAcentral.
GUUCUUUUGUAUUUUAUAUAAGAUCAGGCCUGCCCGUUGAUUAUAAGAAUUGAAAGGCUGCGGUAUUUUAACUGUACGAAGGUAGCAUAAUCAUUUGUCUUUUAAUUGAAGGCUAGUAUGAAUGGUCUCAUGAAAGAAAAACUUUCUUUAUUUAAAUAUUUUGAAUUUAACUUUUUAGUUAAAAGGCUAAAAUUUUUUUAUUGGACGAGAAGACCCUUUAGAAGUUUAUUUUAUUUAUUAAUAAAAAUAUUUAGUUUAUUAAUUUUUUUUUAUGAAUAUAAAAUUCUGUUGGGGUGAUAUUAAAAUUUUUAAAACUUUUAAUUUUUAUUUUCAUAUCUUUAUGUAUUUUUUGAUCCAAUUUUUGUUUUUGAUUAUAAGAUUAACUUACCUAAGGGAUAACAGCGUAAUUUUUUUGGAGAGUUCUUAUCGAUAAAAAAGUUUGCGA